Molecule: long non-coding RNA, 1452 nt
Filed under: Homo sapiens (human)
Lineage: Eukaryota; Metazoa; Chordata; Mammalia; Primates; Hominidae
Description: HSALNT0301658
Source: RNAcentral
CAUAACUGCUUUCCUCCUGAAAUACCACCUUGUAAAGAUAGAGAAAAUGGUAAGUUAUAAGUAAAAGAUGAAUAUUAAAAUAAUGCCAUUGUCUCAUCCAGAAGGUGGGUCAGGUUUUCUGAAUUAAAGUAAGUUGAUUGCCAGGGAAUGACAUAUUACAUAUCAAGGUUGGUUAUACAUGUAGAUAAAAAUAGGUGGAUGCCACUUGAAAGAUGCUGUGGUAUUAGCUAUCUACACCAAACUUCCACAGACAGUGUGCUGAAGUCCCUGAAAUUUCUUCUUUUGAAUUGUUCAUUUGGGUUAUUGUCUCCAGAGAGCUUUUGUUAAAAAUUAUUGUAAGCUUGCAAAAGAGGGUUGAUGUAUUAUAACAAAUUAUUUAUUUAUGAGAUUGGUGAGUUUUGCUCUGGAAAGAAGGCAUAAGAUGUGAAUGAUAUGAAACUGAAUUCCAAGGAAAUUGUUUAGUGACUGUGAACAAGAAACUCUUCCACUAAAUUGUAACUCUUUGAACAGAAGGUCCUAUUCUUAUUUAUUUUUUAAUAUCCUCCACUUUGCUCAGUAGAGUGCAAUAUAUCCAUUUCAAUAUAGGAUUUAAGAAGAGAUUUCAAUUGAAAGAAGCAUUAACAGGGAUUGAAAUGUUUCCGAGGAACUGCUUAAGAAAAUCUUGGAAGUGGAGAUGCAAACAUGUAGGCAAGAAUGAGACCAUCAACCAUAUAUUUAAUUGUAAUUACUUCAGUCUUUUUUCAGGAGGACACCCUGACAUCAAUCUUCAAGCCCUCAAAUAAUCAGCCUUCAGUUGGGAAAGAAUCCAAUUCAGGGUGAAAAUAGAUGAGUUUUUUGCUCUGCUUAGAACCAUAUUGCAAUAGCAGAAAUGUGCUUAAUAUAUUUACAAAUUCUCAGGGACAUCCACCUUUGCCAGUAAGUGCGUCAUUAGGCCAGUGUCAAAAGGAUUGACGGGCUAGACAGAGGUAAGAACAAUAACUUUUCAGUAUCUGAUAAAGCAGCAUUAAUGGGGUAGCAGCAAGAGCAUGAGCUCUGAAAUCCCAAGAUCUGGGUUUAAUACCUUGGCUUCAUGGGACUUUGGAGGUGUGGUUUAACCUUUGUGGGGGUCAGUUACCUUUUCAAAAAUGGAAACAACGACAUGCAUACUUUCACUCGCGUCUGUGUGAAGAGACCACCAAACAGGUUUUGUGUGAGCAAUAAAGCUUUAUUUCACCUGGGUGCAGGCGGGCUGAGUCCGAAAAGAGUCAGUGAAGGGCGAUAGGGGUGGGGCUGUUUUAUAAGAUUUGGGUAGGUAAAGGAAAAUUACAGUUAAAGGGGGGUUGUUCUCUGGUGGGCAGGAGUGGGGGGUCACAAGGUGCUCAGUAGGGGAGCUUCUGAGCCAGGAUGAGCCAGGAGAAGGAAUUUCACGAGAUAAUGUCAUCAGUUAAGGCAGGAACAGGCCAUUUUCAUUUC